AUUGAACGCUGGUGGCAGGCUUAACACAUGCAAGUCGAACGGUAACAGGAAUUAGCUUGCUAAUUUGCUGACGAGUGGCGGACGGGUGAGUAAUGCUUGGGAAUCUGGCUUAUGGAGGGGGAUAACUACGGGAAACUGUAGCUAAUACCGCGUAAAAUCUUCGGAUUAAAGGGUGGGACUUUCGAGCCAGCUGCCAUAAGAUGAGCCCAAGUGGGAUUAGGUAGUUGGUUAGGUAAAGGCUGACCAAGCCGACGAUCUCUAGCUGGUCUGAGAGGAUGACCAGCCACACUGGAACUGAGACACGGUCCAGACUCCUACGGGAGGCAGCAGUGGGGAAUAUUGCACAAUGGGGGGAACCCUGAUGCAGCCAUGCCGCGUGAAUGAAGAAGGCCUUCGGGUUGUAAAGUUCUUUCGGUGACGAGGAAGGUUGAUAGGUUAAUAGCCUAUCAAAUUGACGUUAAUCACAGAAGAAGCACCGGCUAACUCCGUG
This 490-nucleotide ribosomal RNA is filed under the name uncultured bacterium. RNAcentral describes it as "partial 16S ribosomal RNA". It matches the Rfam family "Bacterial small subunit ribosomal RNA", at positions 30 to 507 of the family's 1533-position model. The record is from RNAcentral.